AACGAACGCUGGCGGCAUGCCUAACACAUGCAAGUCGAACGAAACCUUCGGGUCUAGUGGCGCACGGGUGCGUAACGCGUGGGAACCUGCCCUUAGGUUCGGAAUAACUCUCCGAAAGGGGUGCUAAUACCGGAUAAUGUCUUCGGACCAAAGAUUUAUCGCCUUUGGAUGGGCCCGCGUUGGAUUAGCUAGUUGGUAGGGUAAAAGCCUACCAAGGCGACGAUCCAUAGCUGGUCUGAGAGGAUGAUCAGCCACACUGGGACUGAGACACGGCCCAGACUCCUACGGGAGGCAGCAGUGGGGAAUAUUGGACAAUGGGCGAAAGCCUGAUCCAGCAAUGCCGCGUGAGUGAUGAAGGCCUUAGGGUUGUAAAGCUCUUUUACCCGGGAUGAUAAUGACAGUACCGGGAGAAUAAGCGCCGGCUAACUCCGUG
This 433-nucleotide ribosomal RNA is filed under the name uncultured bacterium. Its description in RNAcentral is "partial 16S ribosomal RNA". It matches the Rfam family "Bacterial small subunit ribosomal RNA", at positions 29 to 507 of the family's 1533-position model. The record is from RNAcentral.